This 388-nucleotide ribosomal RNA is filed under the name uncultured bacterium. RNAcentral describes it as "bacterial SSU rRNA". It matches the Rfam family "Bacterial small subunit ribosomal RNA", at positions 30 to 418 of the family's 1533-position model. The record is from RNAcentral.
AUUGAACGCUGGCGGCAUGCUUUACACAUGCAAGUCGAACGGCAGCACGGGGGCAACCCUGGUGGCGAGUGGCGAACGGGUGAGUAAUAUAUCGGAACGUACCCGGAAAUGGGGGAUAACGUAGCGAAAGUUACGCUAAUACCGCAUAUGCCCUAAGGGGGAAAGCGGGGGACUCGCAAGAACCUCGCGUUUUCGGAGCGGCCGAUAUCGGAUUAGCUAGUAGGUGAGGUAAAGGCUCACCUAGGCGACGAUCCGUAGCUGGUCUGAGAGGACGACCAGCCACACUGGAACUGAGACACGGUCCAGACUCCUACGGGAGGCAGCAGUGGGAAUUUGGACAAUGGGCGCAAGCCUGAUCCAGCCAUGCCGCGUGAGUGAAGAAGGCCUC